Long non-coding RNA from Struthio camelus australis, 2418 nucleotides. RefSeq lists it as uncharacterized. NCBI's taxonomy places the organism in Eukaryota, Metazoa, Chordata, Aves, Struthioniformes, Struthionidae. The record is from RefSeq and is a predicted model, not a curated record.
UGCCGGCACGGCGAUUUCCGUUCUUUGGGAACAACGGAAAUAAAAGUUCUGAAAAAGCACCUGCCAUCGGGGUAGCUGCAGGCAGGGGGAGAUAGACCGCCCUGGCGUGUUGCUAAAGCUGCUGGCUCGGGAAAGUCAGCUCUGGAGCAUCUCGGCUGCAGCAUCUUCCCCGUCCUCUGCCGUGUGACGCACUGUAUCAGGCACGCCACAUCGCAAAUGCUGCGGGAAGGUAGGAAGAAAGUUUUCUCUGAUGGACACAUUAGGCAGGAAAGGACAGGAUGCCAAUCCGCGCACAGGUAAAACAGGUUAGAAAAGCGUUUUUAUGUUUAUGUUUCCUGUACAGUUCAACAAUGAAGUAGCUCAUUUUGAACUGAUACAAAGGUCAUUGAAGUCAGACAGCUCUUUGGUAAGUCCUUGUGGUUUAGUAUAUUAUUCUGGUUGACAUCAGAUGCUUAUUGAUGAUAUUUUAAUAUGAGGAUUUUUACUUUUACCAAAGCCUACUUAGUGUAUUAGUUUCUGGAGUGCAUUAAAGUUACUAAGCCUAGAGCUCAUUUGGUAAAUAUUUAGAAAAAAAGAAGCCUGCUGCUUUUCAUCCUUCCCUGUGAUUGUAUCGCAGGACACUGCAAAUCAGCUUCUGCUUUCUUCACGUUAAAUGUUUUAUUUCAUGUGAUGUGUUUCUGAAUAAUUUAUAAUUAAAGUGCUUUUUUACCUUUUCCCUCUACUGUAAAAGCUCUUGCAUGCGCUCUCCGUUGCAUGCAGUACAGAAAACAAUGUUAAUUUUCAGAAACGUUUGCAUGCUGUCGCAGGGAGCUGCAAGAGGAAGAGCAAGGAUUACGGUUAGGACCAAUUCCACACGCGAGUCAUGGCCAUAUACAGCACGUGUUGGGCUCUUGGCGCGUUGCAUAGGAAAGAUACUGUAUGUGGGUGCAGGGGGGACCUUACUUGGCCGUCGUUCCCCUCCCAGCCCCUCUCUGUGCUCUUGUAGCUGCUCAGUAUGGUUCUAGUUCAGUUGCCCCGAGAAAUGAGUCGAAGAUCCAGGAUUUUCUACAUGUGAAGCUGCUUUCUGUUGGAAGGGGAGAAAGACCAGGGGGUGGACAUCGCCCUGGGGUCGCCCUGCUGAUGGUUCCCGAAGCGGCAGUGGCGGCGCUGUGUUGGGGCACGUCUGCCCUGGGUUUUGGCAGGGAUUUAACUAAACUUGUUGAAAACGGUGUUUAAAGAGGUGCAGUCUUCUAAGGUGGUUGCAGCGGCAGGUGUAAAUGUGUUUGUACAAAAUUCACCUUCUAGUCAACAGCCUAAUUCAAACCCUUUCCUGUUGUUAUAGCUGAGAAAGCACUCUAGGAAUUGUACUAAUCUAACUGGUUUUUUCUCUUUUUCUUCAAAAACGACUUGGCUAAAAAAAGGCUAAAUGUGAAUUCAGCAAGUCCGUUGCUUCGCGCAGCCCUGUGUUUCCCGCGCGCCCUAGUCACAGCGAAGGCGGAACGGGAGGGUGAAGCGCUCGUGCGGCGCUAGCGCGGGGCAGGCAGAGCUGGCGCGGCAGGAGGCUCGCGAGGAGGCGGGACGGCUGUGACGCACGUACCGCUUGGGGGCCCAAAACUGCCUAUAUGUUAUGGUUACGCUGGCCACGUUAAAGCACCUAUGGGGGAAAGCGUAGCCAGAAUUAAUAAUCACAAACAGUGGCGAUUAGUGUAAUUAGUGAAUAACAGCAUCGCUGUUUGCUCUGGGGCAGUGACUUUCUGCCGCCCACGUCGUCCUUGCCUUUUACUGACAAAGAAAAGCUGUUUCUGCGUGGAAUAAAAGAUUCUGCCGAGCUUCAGGAGCUUCGUUCAAAAUACGCAGCGCACGUUUCAGUUGCUGCUUUUAUUACAUUGGCAAUGUCGAUUUGAAACAGGAGUGGUUAUUUCUGAAGUCAAAUCCUGACCCGGGGACGCUGGUAAGAAUUUUGUCGUCGGCUUCAAAGGGGGCAAGAUUUGAUCCUUGAUAAUGACAGGGACUUGUUUUCUAAGCCGGUUUUGAAACAACUACUAUUGGUCAGACCACAGUGUUAUGUAUAUAUGCUCAAAUCAAUUUUAUUCAGAAUAAGCAACAGCUGAAGGUUUUGGGUUUUUUGCAUUCAUACUGUUGCAUCUAUGCAGAUGUUAAAAUUGUAAUUUUUCUGUUCGGAGCUGAAAUGUUGACAUGGGAACUUCUUAGAGGUUUAGACAAACUUUCACAUCUUCUCCCAAGAAAUACGAGAUUCGUAUUUCGUAUAUUCGAAUAUAUAUAUAUUCGUUCACUUGCCGUGAACCUAAAACACCCCUUGCCCGCCUCCCCAGGAGCAGGAGCGACCCGAGGUCUAGAAGAGCUCCCAUGGGAGCAAACCGAAUAGCCGAGGAGUCCCCGACCGAGAGGGGCACCCGAGCGGGGAUGCCGCGGCCGGCU